UAAGGAAUAUUGGUCAAUGGACGCAAGUCUGAACCAGCCAUGCCGCGUGGAGGAUGAAGGUCCUCUGGAUUGUAAACUUCUUUUAUCUGGGACGAAACACUUCUUUUCUAAGAGGCCUGACGGUACCAGAUGAAUAAGCACCGGCUAACUCCGUGCCAGCAGCCGCGGUAAUACGGAGGGUGCAAGCGUUAUCCGGAUUCACUGGGUUUAAAGGGUGCGUAGGUGGGUAUGUAAGUCAGUGGUGAAAUCCCCGAGCUUAACUUGGGAACUGGCAUUGAUACUAUAUAUCUUGAAUACCGUAGAGGUAAGCGGAAUAUGUCAUGUAGCGGUGAGAUGCUUAGAUAUGACAAGGAACACUAAUUGCGAAGGCAGCUUACUAUGCGGUGAUUGACACCGAAGCACGAAAGCGUGGGU
RNAcentral lists this ribosomal RNA (414 nucleotides) under uncultured bacterium. Its description in RNAcentral is "bacterial SSU rRNA". It matches the Rfam family "Bacterial small subunit ribosomal RNA", at positions 355 to 766 of the family's 1533-position model. The record is from RNAcentral.